AUUGAACGCUGGCGGCAGGCCUAACACAUGCAAGUCGAGCGGAGCGGCGGACGGGCGAGUCAUGCCUAGGAAUCUGCCUGGUCGUGUGGGAUAACGUCCGGAAACGGGCGCUAAUACCGUCUACUAUCAGAUGCGCCUAGGUCGGAAUAGCUAGUUGGUGGGGUAAAGGCCUACAAAGGCGACGAUCCGUAACUGGUCUGGGAGGAUGAUCAGUCACCGUGGAACUGAGACACGGUCCAGACGCCUACGGGGGGAAGCAGUGGGGAAUAUUGGACAAUGGGCGAAAGCCUGAUCCAGCCAUGCCGCGUGUGUAAAGAGGGUCUUGGGAUUGUAAGGCACUUUAAGUUGGGAGGCGUUACCAACAGAAUAAGCGCCGGCUAACAUCGUGCCAGGAGCCGCGGUAAUAC
This 407-nucleotide ribosomal RNA is filed under the name uncultured bacterium. RNAcentral describes it as "partial 16S ribosomal RNA". It matches the Rfam family "Bacterial small subunit ribosomal RNA", at positions 30 to 526 of the family's 1533-position model. The record is from RNAcentral.